AUUGAACGCUGGCGGCAGGCCUAACACAUGCAAGUCGAGCGGAUGAAGGGAGCUUGCUCCUGGAUUCAGCGGCGGACGGGUGAGUAAUGCCUAGGAAUCUGCCUGGUAGUGGGGGAUAACGUCCGGAAACGGGCGCUAAUACCGCAUACGUCCUGAGGGAGAAAGUGGGGGAUCUUCGGACCUCACGCUAUCAGAUGAGCCUAGGUCGGAUUAGCUAGUUGGUGGGGUAAAGGCCUACCAAGGCGACGAUCCGUAACUGGUCUGAGAGGAUGAUCAGUCACACUGGAACUGAGACACGGUCCAGACUCCUACGGGAGGCAGCAGUGGGGAAUAUUGGACAAUGGGCGAAAGCCUGAUCCAGCCAUGCCGCGUGUGUGAAGAAGGUCUUCGGAUUGUAAAGCACUUUAAGUUGGAAGGAAGGGCAGUAAGUUAAUACCUUGCUGCUUUGACGUUACCAACAGAAUAAGCACCGGCUAACUUCGUG
RNAcentral lists this ribosomal RNA (484 nucleotides) under uncultured bacterium. Its description in RNAcentral is "partial 16S ribosomal RNA". It matches the Rfam family "Bacterial small subunit ribosomal RNA", at positions 30 to 507 of the family's 1533-position model. The record is from RNAcentral.